Cyprinus carpio carpio is the source of this 892-nucleotide long non-coding RNA. NCBI's taxonomy places the organism in Eukaryota, Metazoa, Chordata, Actinopteri, Cypriniformes, Cyprinidae. The record is from Ensembl.
GAGUCAUUAAUGACAUAAUUUUCAUUUUUGGCUGAACUAAGGCUUUAAGGCCUGGGUACACUUCACAUUCAGCGUUCCAUUUCGUCUCGCGCACAGCCGCGUCCGCACAGCUUUCAAAAGUAUACUCAACCGCAGAUGACCGUGGACGGAUGAACUCGACACAUUCGCAGUACCACGGGGUGAGCGGCUGUCCACGAGCCCUCUUCAUUACGAAAAUAACGUAAUGCUGAAGAUGCGCAGACGGCCGAAAUAUACUCUGGCCUUUACUUGAUCGGCAACCGGCCGUUUUUUGCCUUAUUGCAACUCUCUGUUCUGGAUAAUAUCUGGGUGAGCUGUCUCUCUCACUCACUCACAACCCUCUACGGACACCUUGGCAAUUGAAUCGCCAUUGGCUAAUAUUAGACAUCAUUUAGUUGCCGGAAUGAAGAUUUAGUCGCAUAUGCGAUUGAUUCACUCACAAUGUAGAGGGUUGACUCAUGCGGCUCUCUUACCGUCACUGUGUGCAGGAGGUGUUCCACUCACGGCUGCUGAAGGAGGAAGAGGAGGACCGAAUGCAGGAGGAGGAAGAGGAGGACCGAAUGCAGGAGGAGGAAGAGGAGGUGUUCCUCUCACAGCCGCUGGAGGAGGAAGAGGAGGUCCGGCCCCUUGAGGAGGAGGACCAAAUGUCUGAGGGGGAGUCAUAACAUUCAGCGCAGGAGGAGCUACACGUCAGAAGAGGAGAAAGCAGAACAUCAAUGAGCAUUACACAACACUAUCAAGGAAUAAAGCUAUUCACUCUGCAUAAUCUGAACCAGCUUUGGCUUCACCAUCUCAUUCAAACGGUCCUGCAGUGAAUGAAAAGGAACUUCUAAAAGCAGAAAUACUACAUGCAGCUCAAUUAACGUGAGGUCAU